ACGCACGCUGGCGGCGUGCUUAACACCUGCAAGUCGAACGGAAAGGCCCUGCUUUUGUGGGGUGCUCGAGUGGCGAACGGGUGAGUAACACGUGAGUAACCUGCCCUUGACUUUGGGAUAACUUCAUGAAACUGGGGCUAAUACCGGAUAGGAGCUCCUGCUGCAUGGUGGGGGUUGGAAAGUUUCGGCGGUUGGGGAUGGACUCGCGGCUUAUCAGCUUGUUGGUGGGGUAGUGGCUUACCAAGGCUUUGACGGGUAGCCGGCCUGAGAGGGUGACCGGCCACAUUGGGACUGAGAUACGGCCCAGACUCCAACGGGAGGCAGCAGUGGGGAAUAUUGCACAAUGGGCGGAAGCCUGAUGCAGCAACGCCGCGUGCGGGAUGACGGCCUUCGGGUUGUAAACCGCUUUCGCCUGUGACGAAGCGUGAGUGACGGUAAUGGGUAAAGAAGCACCGGCUAACUACGUG
RNAcentral lists this ribosomal RNA (467 nucleotides) under uncultured bacterium. RNAcentral's name for it is "partial 16S ribosomal RNA". It matches the Rfam family "Bacterial small subunit ribosomal RNA", at positions 29 to 507 of the family's 1533-position model. The record is from RNAcentral.